CCUACGGGAGGCAGCAGUGAGGAAUAUUGGUCAAUGGGCGCGAGCCUGAACCAGCCAAGUAGCGUGAAGGAUGACUGCCCUAUGGGUUGUAAACUUCUUUUAUAUAGGAAUAAAGUGAGGUAUGCAUACCCUCUUGUAUGUACCUUAUGAAUAAGGAUCGGCUAACUCCGUGCCAGCAGCCGCGGUAAUACGGAGGAUCCGAGCGUUAUCCGGAUUUAUUGGGUUUAAAGGGAGCGUAGAUGGGUUGUUAAGUCAGUUGUGAAAGUUUGCGGCUCAACCGUAAAAUUGCAGUUGAUACUGGCAGUCUUGAGUACAGUUGAGGUAGGCGGAAUUCGUGGUGUAGCGGUGAAAUGCUUAGAUAUCACGAAGAACUCCGAUUGCGAAGGCAGCUUACUAAACUGCCACUGACAUUGAUGCUCGAAAGUGUGGGUAUCAAACAGGAUUAGAUACCCUUGUAGUC
This 460-nucleotide ribosomal RNA is filed under the name uncultured bacterium. RNAcentral's name for it is "partial 16S ribosomal RNA". It matches the Rfam family "Bacterial small subunit ribosomal RNA", at positions 338 to 795 of the family's 1533-position model. The record is from RNAcentral.